UGACUGUGGCUGCCUUGUUGUACCCAACU
RNAcentral lists this non-coding RNA (29 nucleotides) under Rattus norvegicus (Norway rat). Lineage: Eukaryota; Metazoa; Chordata; Mammalia; Rodentia; Muridae. The record is from RNAcentral.